UUAUGGCCACAUCACGUUGAAACACUGGUUUCCGUACGAUCACCGAAGUUAAGCAACGUCGAGCCUUGAGAAUAUCUAGAUGGGUGACCUCCUGGGAAUACCAGGUGCUGUAAG
This is a non-coding RNA of Acanthosepion pharaonis, 114 nucleotides long. The record is from the annotation of a GenBank genome assembly. Lineage: Eukaryota; Metazoa; Mollusca; Cephalopoda; Sepiida; Sepiidae.